RNAcentral lists this ribosomal RNA (484 nucleotides) under uncultured bacterium. Its description in RNAcentral is "partial 16S ribosomal RNA". It matches the Rfam family "Bacterial small subunit ribosomal RNA", at positions 30 to 507 of the family's 1533-position model. The record is from RNAcentral.
AUUGAACGCUGGCGGCAGGCCUAACACAUGCAAGUCGAGCGGAUGAAGGGAGCUUGCUCCUGGAUUCAGCGGCGGACGGGUUAGUAAUGCCUAGGAAUCUGCCUGGUAGUGGGGGAUAACGUCCGGAAACGGGCGCUAAUACCGCAUACGUCCUGAGGGAGAAAGUGGGGGAUCUUCGGACCUCACGCUAUCAGAUGAGCCUAGGUCGGAUUAGCUAGUUGGUGGGGUAAAGGCCUACCAAGGCGACGAUCCGUAACUGGUCUGAGAGGAUGAUCAGCCACACUGGAACUGAGACACGGUCCAGACUCCUACGGGAGGCAGCAGUGGGGAAUAUUGGACAAUGGGCGAAAGCCUGAUCCAGCCAUGCCGCGUGUGUGAAGAAGGUCUUCGGAUUGUAAAGCACUUUAAGUUGGGAGGAAGGGCAGUAAGUUAAUACCUUGCUGUUUUGACGUUACCAACAGAAUAAGCACCGGCUAACUUCGUG